This 934-nucleotide ribosomal RNA is filed under the name uncultured Kocuria sp. RNAcentral describes it as "bacterial SSU rRNA". It matches the Rfam family "Bacterial small subunit ribosomal RNA", at positions 165 to 1105 of the family's 1533-position model. The record is from RNAcentral. Lineage: Bacteria; Bacillati; Actinomycetota; Actinomycetes; Micrococcales; Micrococcaceae.
AAUACUGGAUACUACAUUCUCUCGCAUGGGGGUGUGUGGAAAGGGUUUUACUGGGUUUGGAUGGGCUCACGGCCUAUCAGCUUGUUGGUGGGGGAAUGGCCUACCAAGGCGACGACGGGCAGCCGGCCUGAGAGGGCGACCGGCCACACUGGGACUGACACACGGCCCACACUCCUACGGGAGGCAGCAGUGGGGAAUAUUGCACAAUGGGCGAAAGCCUGAUGCAGCGACGCCGCGGGAGGGAUGACGGCCUUCGGGUUGUAAACCUCUUUCAGCACGGAAGAAGCGAAAGUGACGGUACGUGCAAAAGAAGCGCCGGCUAACUACGUGCCAGCAGCCGCGGUAAUACGUAGGGCGCAAGCGUUGUCCGGAAUUAUUGGGCGUAAAGAGCUCGUAGGCGGUUUGGCGCGUCUGCUGUGAAAGCCCGGGGCUUAACCCCGGGGUGUGCAGUGGGUACGGACAGACUAGAGUGCAGUAGGGGAGACUGGAAUUCCUGGUGUAUCGGUGAAAUGCACAUAUAUCAGGAGGAACACCGAUGGCGAAGGCAGGUCUCUGGGCUGUUACUGACGCUGAGGAGCGAAAGCAUGGCGAGCGAACAGGAUUAGAUACCCUGGUAGUCCAUGCCGUAAACGUUGCGCACUAGGUGUGACGGACAUUCCACGUCUUCCGCGCCGUAGCUAACGCAUUAACUGCCCCGCCUGGGGAGUACGGCCGCAAGGCUAAACUCGAAGGAAUUGACGGCCGCCCGCACAAGCGGCGGAGCAUGCGGAUUAAUUCGAUGCAACACGAACAACCUUACCAAUGCUUGACACACACCAGACCGAGCACAGAGAUGCGUUUUCCUCUUUGAGGUUGAUGUACAGGUGAUGCAUGAUUGUCGUCAGCUCGUGUCGUGGAGAUGGUUGGGUUAACGUCCCGCAACGAGCGCAACCCU